Molecule: ribosomal RNA, 468 nt
Filed under: uncultured bacterium
Lineage: Bacteria
Description: partial 16S ribosomal RNA
Rfam family: Bacterial small subunit ribosomal RNA
Source: RNAcentral
GACGAACGCUGGCGGCGUGCUUAACACAUGCAAGUCGAACGGAAAGGCCCUGCUUUUGUGGGGUGCUCGAGUGGCGAGCGGGUGAGUAACACGUGAGUAACCUGCCCUUGACUUUGGGAUAACUUCAGGAAACUGGGGCUAAUACCGGAUAGGAGCUCCUGCUGCAUGGUGGGGGUUGGAAAGUUUCGGCGGUUGGGGAUGGACUCGCGGCUUAUCAGCUUGUUGGUGGGGUAGUGGCUUACCAAGGCUUUGACGGGUAGCCGGCCUGAGAGGGUGACCGGCCACAUUGGGACUGAGAUACGGCCCAGACUCCUACGGGAGGCAGCAGUGGGGAAUAUUGCACAAUGGGCGGAAGCCUGAUGCGGCAACGCCGCGUGCGGGAUGACGGCCUUCGGGUUGUAAACCGCUUUCGCCUGUGACGAAGCGUGAGUGACGGUAAUGGGUAAAGAAGCACCGGCUAACUACGUG